Molecule: transfer RNA, 70 nt
Filed under: Vireo olivaceus (red-eyed vireo)
Lineage: Eukaryota; Metazoa; Chordata; Aves; Passeriformes; Vireonidae
Description: tRNA-Arg
Rfam family: tRNA
About the family: Transfer RNA (tRNA) molecules are approximately 80 nucleotides in length. Their secondary structure includes four short double-helical elements and three loops (D, anti-codon, and T loops). Further hydrogen bonds mediate the characteristic L-shaped molecular structure. tRNAs have two regions of fundamental functional importance: the anti-codon, which is responsible for specific mRNA codon recognition, and the 3' end, to which the tRNAs corresponding amino acid is attached (by aminoacyl-tRNA synthetases). tRNAs cope with the degeneracy of the genetic code in two manners: having more than one tRNA (with a specific anti-codon) for a particular amino acid; and 'wobble' base-pairing, i.e. permitting non-standard base-pairing at the 3rd anti-codon position.
Source: RNAcentral
AGAAAGUUAGUCUAACCAAGACAGUUGAUUUCGACUCAACAGAUUAUAGUUCUAACCCUAUAACUUUCUU